Molecule: ribosomal RNA, 656 nt
Filed under: uncultured Crater Lake bacterium CL0-99
Lineage: Bacteria
Description: bacterial SSU rRNA
Rfam family: Bacterial small subunit ribosomal RNA
Source: RNAcentral
AGAGUUUGUUCCUGGCUCAGAUUGAACGCUGGCGGCAUGCCUUACACAUGCAAGUCGAACGGUAGAGUAGCAAUACUUUGAGAGUGGCGAACGGGUGAGUAAUAUAUCGGAACGUGCCCCAGUCGUGGGGGAUAACGUAGAGAAAUUUACGCUAAUACCGCAUACGAUCUAAGGAUGAAAGCGGGGGAUCGCAAGACCUCGCGCGAUUGGAGCGGCUGAUAUCAGAUUAGGUUGUUGGUGAGGUAAAAGCUCACCAAGCCGACGAUCUGUAGCUGGUUUGAGAGAACGACCAGCCACACUGGGACUGAGACACGGCCCAGACUCCUACGGGAGGCAGCAGUGGGGAAUUUUGGACAAUGGGCGAAAGCCUGAUCCAGCAAUGCCGCGUGUGGGAAGAAGGCCUUCGGGUUGUAAACCACUUUUGUACGGAACGAAACGGUUCGCUUUAAUACAGUGGGCUAAUGACGGUACCGUAAGAAUAAGCACCGGCUAACUACGUGCCAGCAGCCGCGGUAAUACGUAGGGUGCGAGCGUUAAUCGGAAUUACUGGGCGUAAAGCGUGCGCAGGCGGUUAUAUAAGACAGUUGUGAAAUCCCCGGGCUCAACCUGGGAAUUGCAUCUGUGACUGUAUGGCUAGAGUACGGUAGAGGGGGAUG